This 169-nucleotide ribosomal RNA is filed under the name Doris odhneri. RNAcentral's name for it is "partial 28S ribosomal RNA". It matches the Rfam family "Eukaryotic large subunit ribosomal RNA", at positions 1326 to 1473 of the family's 3401-position model. Lineage: Eukaryota; Metazoa; Mollusca; Gastropoda; Nudibranchia; Dorididae. The record is from RNAcentral.
CGCUGGAGCGUCGGACCCAUACCGGGCCGUCUCGGCAAGGAGGACUUAAACUCCCCGAGCCCAGGCCGAGACGAGUAGGAGGGCCGCCGGGGUGAGCGCGGAAGCCUGGGGAGCGAUCCUGGGUUGAGCCGCCCCGGGUGCAGAUCUUGGUGGUAGUAGCAAAUAUUCA